Long non-coding RNA from Malaclemys terrapin pileata, 285 nucleotides. RefSeq lists it as uncharacterized. The record is from RefSeq and is a predicted model, not a curated record. The transcript is spliced from 3 exons. NCBI's taxonomy places the organism in Eukaryota, Metazoa, Chordata, Testudines, Emydidae.
CCUUGCCAGUCGCCGUGAGGGCAGCAGUCAGGCUGCCUUCGGCGGCAUGCCUGCGGGAAGUCCGCCAGUCCCGCAGCAAUUUGACGGAGCAUCUGAAUGAGAACAGGACACUUGGCUGGCACACAAGAAGAGGAAGGGUGCUCUAAACUUAAGCAUGGAAGAAGGGGCAAAUACAAGAAUGCGUGGAGAAUGUAACAAGGAGGACACUAAUGAAGACACAAAUCUUUCAAUCUGGGGAUGAAUGUUUGACAAGGACACUUGGAGCAUCAUCUUUCGCGUGCUCAG